RNAcentral lists this ribosomal RNA (253 nucleotides) under uncultured bacterium. RNAcentral's name for it is "partial 16S ribosomal RNA". It matches the Rfam family "Bacterial small subunit ribosomal RNA", at positions 524 to 776 of the family's 1533-position model. The record is from RNAcentral.
CACGUAAGAGGCUAGCGUUAUUCGUCAUUAAUGGGUCUAAAGGGUGCGUAGGCGGGUCUUUAAGUCAGGGGUGAAAUCCUGGAGCUCAACUCCAGAACUGCCUUUGAUACUGAGGAUCUUGAGUUCGGGAGAGGUGAGUGGAACUGCGAGUGUAGAGGUGAAAUUCGUAGAUAUUCGCAAGAACACCAGUGGCGAAGGCGGCUCACUGGCCCGAUACUGACGCUGAGGCACGAAAGCGUGGGGAGCAAACAGG